This is a transfer RNA of Sordaria macrospora k-hell, 96 nucleotides long. It matches the Rfam family "tRNA". From Rfam's summary of the family: Transfer RNA (tRNA) molecules are approximately 80 nucleotides in length. Their secondary structure includes four short double-helical elements and three loops (D, anti-codon, and T loops). Further hydrogen bonds mediate the characteristic L-shaped molecular structure. tRNAs have two regions of fundamental functional importance: the anti-codon, which is responsible for specific mRNA codon recognition, and the 3' end, to which the tRNAs corresponding amino acid is attached (by aminoacyl-tRNA synthetases). tRNAs cope with the degeneracy of the genetic code in two manners: having more than one tRNA (with a specific anti-codon) for a particular amino acid; and 'wobble' base-pairing, i.e. permitting non-standard base-pairing at the 3rd anti-codon position. NCBI's taxonomy places the organism in Eukaryota, Fungi, Ascomycota, Sordariomycetes, Sordariales, Sordariaceae. The record is from Rfam.
GUCAGCUUGGCCGAGUGGUUAAGGCGACAGACUUGAAUACUCUUAUUCAGCUAUCUGUUAUCUUCGGAUGCGUAGGUUCAAAUCCUGCAGCUGACG